Molecule: long non-coding RNA, 407 nt
Organism: Triplophysa rosa
Lineage: Eukaryota; Metazoa; Chordata; Actinopteri; Cypriniformes; Nemacheilidae
Exons: 3
Source: RefSeq, a predicted model, not a curated record
CAGGCAGCAGCGCUGGUACCCGUGCCAUCUGCCACUGACGUUCUGACGGUCACGUGAUGCCGUCUCCAGGGACUUUCACUCGGCUCUCAUCAUCUGGCGCUCACGGUUGUCUGUAUUGGCAGACUCUGCCGCUCUUUCUGACUCAAUGCCAGUAAAUGAUGGAGCCUGCAUACGUAUUGUCGCUCGAGUGCUGGUUUGGAUCAGAAAAAUGCUGUUUCAUCACUGCCUGGGUCCUAUCCAAAUUCUGACAUCAGCUGUCAGUCACAAAAGAGGAUUCGGGCUUGUGUUCACUGUCGUGUUGUGGAUGGAUCUCUUGAGGCUGUGGGUCAUUUGACAGGGAUAAGAGUGAGAAUCUGGACAUCUGAGGUUCUGGAAGGAGAGUGAGGAUAAGCAAAUUUCAGAAUGAC